Molecule: ribosomal RNA, 497 nt
Filed under: uncultured bacterium
Lineage: Bacteria
Description: partial 16S ribosomal RNA
Rfam family: Bacterial small subunit ribosomal RNA
Source: RNAcentral
GAUGAACGCUGGCGGCGUGCCUAAUACAUGCAAGUCGAGCGAACAGACGAGGAGCUUGCUCCUCUGACGUUAGCGGCGGACGGGUGAGUAACACGUGGAUAACCUACCUAUAAGACUGGGAUAACUUCGGGAAACCGGAGCUAAUACCGGAUAAUAUGUUGAACCGCAUGGUUCAACAGUGAAAGACGGUCUUGCUGUCACUUAUAGAUGGAUCCGCGCCGCAUUAGCUAGUUGGUAAGGUAACGGCUUACCAAGGCAACGAUGCGUAGCCGACCUGAGAGGGUGAUCGGCCACACUGGAACUGAGACACGGUCCAGACUCCUACGGGAGGCAGCAGUAGGGAAUCUUCCGCAAUGGGCGAAAGCCUGACGGCGCAACGCCGCGUGAGUGCAGAAGGUCUUCGGAUCGUAAAACUCUGUUAUUAGGGAAGAACAAAUGUGUAAGUAACUAUGCACGUCUUGACGGUACCUAAUCAGAAAGCCACGGCUAACUACGUG